Molecule: long non-coding RNA, 206 nt
Filed under: Ananas comosus (pineapple)
Lineage: Eukaryota; Viridiplantae; Streptophyta; Magnoliopsida; Poales; Bromeliaceae
Description: long non-coding RNA (ACOM_LNC011313)
Source: RNAcentral
AUUAAGUGGUUAUAAGUAGUCUAAAAAACAAGAUCGGUUAUUUAGACAACUGAUCAGUUGGCCUGACGCACGCUUCAGAUACUCAAUGUCUAUAAAAAAGAAGGAAGAAAAAACAAAACUAAUUUUCUAGUGAACGGUAGAAUUUAUUGACAUACAGAUCAAAUUUAUUAAAUCUGAUUUAGUGUGAUUCAGUGUGGCCAGUGUCU